AGGAUGAACGCUGGCGGCGUGCCUAACAUAUGCAAGUCGAACGUCCUGUCUCGCAAGAGGCAGGGAGUGGCGGACGGGUGAGUACCACGUGGGUCAUCUACCGUGAGGUGAGGAAUACCGGCGAGAAAUCGCCGACAAGACCGCAUAGGCUCGAUGCAAGUCGAGCAAAGCUCUUUCGAGAGAGGGAGCGCCACACGAGGAGCCUGCGCCCGAUUAGCUAGCUGGUGGAGUAACGGUUCACCAGGGCGACGAUCGGUAGCUGGUCUGAGAGGACGAUCAGCCACACUGGGAUUGAGAACGGCCCAGACUCCUACGGGGGGCAGCAGUGAGGAAUUUUCGUCAAUGGGGGCAACCCUGAACGAGCAACGCCGCGUGCAGGAAGAAGGUUUUCGGAUCGUAAACUGCUUUUCUCGGGGAAGAGAACGGACGGUACCCGAGGAAUCAGCCCCGGCUAACUACGUGCCAGCAGCCGCGGU
RNAcentral lists this ribosomal RNA (476 nucleotides) under uncultured bacterium. Its description in RNAcentral is "SSU rRNA". It matches the Rfam family "Bacterial small subunit ribosomal RNA", at positions 26 to 521 of the family's 1533-position model. The record is from RNAcentral.